Molecule: non-coding RNA, 575 nt
Organism: Cinara cedri
Lineage: Eukaryota; Metazoa; Arthropoda; Insecta; Hemiptera; Aphididae
Source: the annotation of a GenBank genome assembly
CAUUGCGCGAAUGAGUUCGUAAGAAACGGUCGAUAUUGUGGAAAAACAAGUCGUGGAUCUUGCACCAGGAUAAAGCGUGAAGCGUUAUUUGGCCGUUUAAGGCACUCCAGUACUCGAACACGCAUCUUACUCACCCGACUUGGCACCCUGCGACUUUUACUUGUUUCCGAAGAUAAAGUCUCCCUUAAAAGGAAUCCGGCUUGAGUCGAUGGAAGAGGUGAAACAAAAAUCGGCGGAACUCCUGAAUGGUCUUACCAAAACAGACUUCCAGCACUGCCUCGAGCAAUGGAAGAAACGAAUGAAACGGUGUGUAGCGAGGGAAGGGGAGUAUAUUGAAGGGGAGCAUUUGAAUGUAGAAUAACUUUUAUAAUAAAACACUUUUUCGUAACCAGUCUCGUUAUUUAAUAGCCACACCUCGUAUAGUAAAUUAUUUUUAAAUUUUGAAUACGAAAUUUUUUGUAUUAUACAUAUUUUUUUGCAUGGUAAGCAGACACAAACACGUAAGGGCCUAAGUUCCCAUAUCACUUCUAAGCCUCAAGAUACAAUAUAUAAGUUAUCUCACUUUUUACUACCAC